GCGGAGGAAAAGAAACUACCAAGGAUUCCCCUAGUAACGGCGAGUGANGCGGGANCNGCUCAANUUUUAAAUCUGGCUGCUUCGCAGUCCGAGUUGUAAUUUGAAGGCGUCUGUCGCAUGUGAGACGAUGGCACAAGUCCUCUGGAACGUGGCAUCGUAGAGGGUGAGAAUCCCGUCUCUGGUCGUUGUCUUGCAGGCACACGGCAGGCGAUCCGAAGAGUCGAGUUGUUUGGGAUUGCAGCUCCAAAUGGGUGGUAAACUCCAUCUAAGGCUAAAUAUUGGCGAGAGACCGAUAGCGAACAAGUACCGUGAGGGAAAGAUGAAAAGAACUUUGAAAAGAGAGUAAAACAGUACGUGAAAUUGUUGAAAGGGAAACGCUUGAAGUCAGUCGUGCCGGCGGGGAUUCAGCGAACUUCGCGGAGUGAGCGUAUUUCCUCGCAUGGCAGGUCAGCGUCAGUUUUGCGCGUCGUGAAAGGGCUCGGGUAAGGUGACUCUCUUCGGGGAGUGUUAUAGGCCUGAGCAGAUGCGAUGCGCGGGACUGAGGAUUGCAGCGGACACCCUUCGGGGCGCGGCGACCGAUCCCUGCUCUGUCACCUUCGUCCGAUAGCGUGCUAACGGUCGGGGGAGCGGCGGUUGCACCGGKUGGCAAGCCSGCGGCUYCCCUUAAGAUGCUUGCGUAAUGGCUUUUAACCACC
Molecule: ribosomal RNA, 695 nt
Filed under: Glomeromycotina sp. OTU25 DJMC-2012
Lineage: Eukaryota; Fungi; Glomeromycota
Description: eukaryotic LSU rRNA
Rfam family: Eukaryotic large subunit ribosomal RNA
Source: RNAcentral